CCGCCCUGCAACCACCGCCGCCGCCGCCCGCCGACGCUGGACUGCCCCCUGGCGUGGACCUGAGCCAACUGAGUGCGGAGGAGCGGGCCAUCAUUGAAGAGGUCAUGCACAAGGCGCAGCAGUUCGACCAGGAGGGCGCCAAAUCCGGGGUCGGCGCCGAUCCGGGGCACCGGCCGCCGGUCAAGUGCGCCCUCUGCCAGAUCCGCGAGGUGCCUCCGAAAUCGAAGACCGAGUGCGUGAGCUGCCGGCAGGUGGUCUGCCAAAGUUGUGGGCAGCACACGGCCGCCGGCCCGU
This is a long non-coding RNA of Pollicipes pollicipes, 294 nucleotides long. RefSeq lists it as uncharacterized. NCBI's taxonomy places the organism in Eukaryota, Metazoa, Arthropoda, Thecostraca, Pollicipedomorpha, Pollicipedidae. The transcript has 4 exons. The record is from RefSeq and is a predicted model, not a curated record.